GACGAACGCUGGCGGCGUGCUUAACACAUGCAAGUCGAACGGAAAGGCCCUGCUCUUGUGGGGUGCUCGAGUGGCGAACGGGUGAGUAACACGUGAGUAACCUGCCCUUGACUUUGGGAUAUCUUCAGGAAACUGGGGCUAAUACCGGAUAGGAUCUCCUGCUGCAUGGUGGGGGUUGGAAAGUUUCGGCGGUUGGGGAUGGACUCGCGGCUUAUCAGCUUGUUUGUGGGGUAGUGGCUUACCAAGGCUUCGACGGGUAGCCGGCCUGAGAGGGUGACCGGCCACAUUGGGACUGAGAUACGGCCCAGACUCCUACGGGAGGCAGCAGUGGGGAAUAUUGCACAAUGGGCGGAAGCCUGAUGCAGCAACGCCGCGUGCGGGAUGACGGCCUUCGGGUUGUAAACCGCUUUCGCCUGUGACGAAGCGUGAGUGACGGUAAUGGGUAAAGAAGCACCGGCUAACUACGUG
This 468-nucleotide ribosomal RNA is filed under the name uncultured bacterium. RNAcentral describes it as "partial 16S ribosomal RNA". It matches the Rfam family "Bacterial small subunit ribosomal RNA", at positions 28 to 507 of the family's 1533-position model. The record is from RNAcentral.